GAAGUAAAAGUCGUAACAAGGUCUCCGUUGGUGAACCAGCGGAGGGAUCAUUACCGAGUUAUACAACUCAUCAACCCUGUGAACAUACCUAAAACGUUGCUUCGGCGGGAACAGACGGCCCUGUAACAACGGGCCGCCCCCGCCAGAGGACCCCUAACUCUGUUUUUAUAAUGUUUUUCUGAGUAAACAAGCAAAUAAAUUAAAACUUUCAACAACGGAUCUCUUGGCUCUGGCAUCGAUGAAGAACGCAGCGAAAUGCGAUAAGUAAUGUGAAUUGCAGAAUUCAGUGAAUCAUCGAAUCUUUGAACGCACAUUGCGCCCGCCAGUAUUCUGGCGGGCAUGCCUGUUCGAGCGUCAUUACAACCCUCAGGCCCCCGGGCCUGGCGUUGGGGAUCGGCAGAAGCCCCCUGUGGGCACACGCCGUCCCUCCAAUACAGUGGCGGUCCCGCCGCAGCUUCCAUUGCGUAGUAGCUAACACCUCGCAACUGGAGAGCGGCGCGGCCAUGCCGUAAAACACCCAACUUCUGAAUGUUGACCUCGAUUCAGGUAAGAAAACCCCCCCCCA
Molecule: ribosomal RNA, 565 nt
Filed under: Fusarium solani
Lineage: Eukaryota; Fungi; Ascomycota; Sordariomycetes; Hypocreales; Nectriaceae
Description: eukaryotic LSU rRNA
Rfam family: 5.8S ribosomal RNA (bases 204-357)
Source: RNAcentral